This 1332-nucleotide long non-coding RNA is filed under the name Pongo abelii (Sumatran orangutan). RNAcentral's name for it is "lncRNA (ENSPPYG00000029985.1)". The record is from RNAcentral. Lineage: Eukaryota; Metazoa; Chordata; Mammalia; Primates; Hominidae.
ACAAUCACCUUUUCUUCAUAAAUAUACAGCUUUAGGAAUAUUUCACCAUUCUUUAUAGGACAUAGUAGUCCUUGUCUUUUUUUCCCCUGACAUUGGAAAGAUGUGCUAAUUGAAACUUGACUUAGUAGGAACAUUGUGCCAACUCGAAACCUUGAUUUAGUAAAAAUCUCAAUGUUUAGAUCCUUUGUCCAGUGGUGGUGUUUAUCAGCAAAUGUAUUCAGCUUGCUCAGAAAACCAAAAGGGCAUUAAAGCCACAAAAGCAAAGAAGAAAAAAAAAAACUUCCCAUGUUUGGAUCUUGUUCUAGUUAGAAAAAUUAAGUUGAAAUUAUUGGACUUUUUCAUUCAUGAGGCAAAUGCUGUAAUACCUUGCCCUUUGACAGGUUUGGAUUCUUAACAUUACUAGUGGUAUUUCAGGAAGUGAGGUUACAGUUACUUUCCUUAUAGCGGCUAAGUGUAUUAAGUUGAAUGUAACGAUGGUAAUAUUAAUUUGUUUGAACCGAGGCCCACUACUGAUUCUUUGACAAAUUGAAUUCUUAUAUGUAAAUAAUUUUAUGGGAAUGUUCCAUCAUAAUUUCUAAAUUGUUUAUAUACCAAGGUAGCCUUAAUUUGUAUAUGUUUCAGUACAAUGAGAUUUUAUUGCCUCUGGGAUGCUGUUUAGUUUGUAUUUUGUUGAACGUUUUUAUCUUAGGAAGAGAAACCUAUGACUUGUGUACCUAGAUCAUCUGUUACAUUAAAAAGCUGCUUUCAGCAUUAGAGCUAUAAAUGAAUGUUAUCUUGUCGGGAAACAAUCUGGGUUUUAGCUGUAUGAGCUAUGUUUAUUAUGGUGCUAAUGUUCAGUAGCCACAUUUGACUAAUGUCUCCAUUCUCUAUGAUGCUGUGGCUGGCAGCAGAGCUCGCCAGUUCAUGCCUGGACAUACUGUCAGGGCUGGGCCCUCCAGCUAGCUCCUUUGGGGUUGAGUCCAAAUCUUUUUGAUGUGGAAGUAUAAAGCAAGUAUCUUGAUUUCUAAACCCAGCAAUUUUAGAAUUGACCUUUAUGAGUGAAGACUUUUUGGAGCUUUUAAAGACCUCGGCAGUCAUGAUCUCAAACCAAUUAGGAGCUCCAAGCUCCCUUCCCAGGUAACUGUUGGGAGCAAUGGCAUCACUGUAUGUAUGCCCUUGUAAUGGCUGGAAGGGACAUGAUCUUGUAAGUAGGAAAGCUGUCACUUAAAAUUGUAUUGUUUGCUUAUUAGCCAUGUAUCUCUUAAAAUUUUGUUAUGUUUACAACGAUGUACCUUAUUGGCAACAAGUUAUUAGUUUGAUGUUUAACAAUAGUGCCUUUAGUAAAUUAUUUUA